Molecule: ribosomal RNA, 484 nt
Filed under: uncultured bacterium
Lineage: Bacteria
Description: partial 16S ribosomal RNA
Rfam family: Bacterial small subunit ribosomal RNA
Source: RNAcentral
AUUGAACGCUGGCGGAAUGCUUUACACAUGCAAGUCGAACGGCAGCACGGGGGCAACCCUGGUGGCGAGUGGCGAACGGGUGAGUAAUACAUCGGAACGUGCCCGGACGUGGGGGAUAACGUAGCGAAAGUUACGCUAAUACCGCAUACGAUCUGAGGAUGAAAGCGGGGGACCUUCGGGCCUCGCGCGAUCGGAGCGGCCGAUGUCAGAUUAGGUAGUUGGUGGGGUAAAGGCCUACCAAGCCGACGAGCUGUAGCUGGUCUGAGAGGACGACCAGCCAGACGGUGACUGAGGCACGGCACAGACUCUUGCGGUGAGCAGCAGUGGGGAAUUUUAGACAAUGGGCGCAAGCCUGAUCCAGCCAUUCCGCGGGCAGGACGAAGGCCUUCGGGUUGUAAACUGCUUUUGUAUGGAGCGAAAAGGCUCUGGCUAAUACCUGAUGAUCAUGACGGUACCGUAAGAAUAAGCACCGGCUAACUACGUG